Molecule: non-coding RNA, 114 nt
Organism: Lysinibacillus contaminans
Lineage: Bacteria; Bacillati; Bacillota; Bacilli; Caryophanales; Bacillaceae
Source: Rfam
UGAUCCUUUAAUACGGUCCAGAGAGGCUGAAAAGGGCUGCGUGAUAUUUUAAAUAUUUUUAAUAUCUUUGUUUAUUCAUGCCCUUUUGUCUUAUCUGACGGAAGGGUAUUUUUU